Long non-coding RNA from Gambusia affinis (western mosquitofish), 5307 nucleotides. RefSeq lists it as uncharacterized. The transcript is spliced from 2 exons. The record is from RefSeq and is a predicted model, not a curated record. NCBI's taxonomy places the organism in Eukaryota, Metazoa, Chordata, Actinopteri, Cyprinodontiformes, Poeciliidae.
GUGACCCCCUAAAGGGAGCAGGGUGCAGAAUGACAAAGACCAAGGACUAACUUGGGGAUGCACAAGAGGCAGGUUUUUAAGUCUUAGACAGAUUUUUUUGGGGGAAAGCACAACUAUUAGUAGAUGAUCAUUCUUUCAAUAGACAAAGACAAAGGCUGGAUAUAAAAGUUGAGGCUGGUGUAAAACAUCUAGCUCUCCUACUUUGGAAUUCCUUGGUUUUUCUAUCUCAUAUUUCCAACUUUUAUGGUAGGCAACUUUUUCUGUCACAUUGCUCUUAAUGAAUCCAAUGUUUGGCAAUCAGAUGAUUCCACUCCAACAUCCUAGAGCCAGUGUGUCCAACUAAUUUUCACUUCGAGCCACAUCAUAAAUGACCUCUAUGGUCCGGUUAUGGCAGAAAAUAUAGAUAAAACUACUGAAGGUAGUUUUUGCUUGUCCAUCUGUUCAUGUUGAUGUAAGUUGGCCCAAACUAAGAACUGAUUUGAUUUGACUGAUAAAAUACUAUUUAAAUACACAAAUGUUAUCUUGAAAUUCUACUUCUGUGGUUCUGUAAACCUCAGAGGGACCAUAGAAACAGCUGUGCGGCUAUUGAUUUGGUCUGCAAAAGCAUAGCAUACAUUAGAGUACCUGAAACAAGAAAAUAAAAACACCCAUUGCUAAGGCGUAUAAGGAAUGACGACGUGUCACCCCAACACAAAUCUAGAAGUAUUUUUCCUGGUUCAUGCUUAAUCAGUGCUUGGUAAAGGGUGACCUGCCUUAUCAUUCAUCUCUCUCUUUCUCUAGGAACCUAAAUUAAUUUUAAAAUUUUCUAUUAGCUGACAAUUUUCCUUCCUUACCUCCACUAACCCCUGCAAGAUGCGUACAAACAUGACGCAGCCAUAGUGCACCCUGGCAGCUGACGGGAUGAACAUGUUCAGCACUGAUGUUAGAAAAAUGGCAGCCCCAAAAACCCUGUGAAGAAAACAAGGGCCGUCAAUGAAUCAGUACAGCCAGACUCCAUCAGAAUAGCUUAUGUGUUUCAAUGAAAAUGCUUCAUGGGAAAUGAACCUUCACUGGGCCUUUUUUAAAUAUUUAGGUUUUAUAAUUGAUUAUUCCCUGGGUUUUGUUCUCAACCUUCAACAGCUUGUAAAAAAGAUGAAGCUGAAGCUGGGUUCUUAUUUCAAAAUUAAAUCUUGUUUAUAAAGAUUUAUCAUUUCAUCACAGAUUUAGUGCCUCUGUUUUAUUGCAUUGGGACUGUAUCUCUUGUCCCUUUUUGUUAAAAUAUUUUCAGGUGUUUAUUUUCUGCGCUCAGGUGAUUUGAUUUUAUUAAUUGUUCGGUGUGCAAUGAUCUUUCCAAAAAAAAUUGCUUUCCAGUUUGCUGCUCCCUCAGUCUGGAAUCAACUGCAAAAAGACUUAAAGCUGAAAGAAAUUGUUUCCUUUAAUGCAUUUAAGGCCACUCUUAAUCAGUUUGUAAAUAAGAUUUUUUUUUGUACAUGUUUAGAUUAAUAUCUAGUUUUAUAUUAGAUUCAUUACUACCUUUAUGUCUGUGUUGGCUACACAGUCUAUGUAUAUAUCUAUAGAUAUAUAGAUCUAUAGAUAUCUCUAGAUCUAUAGAUAUAUCUAUCUAUCUAUACCUAUAUAUAUCUAUAGAUAUAUAUCUAUAUCUAUCUAUCUAUAUCUAUAGAUAUAUUUAUAUCUAUAUCUAUAGAUAUAGAUAUAUAGACUGAUGGGGCUGCAAAGUGGCGCAGUUGGUAGAGCUGUUGCCUUGCAGCAAGAAGGUCCUGGGUUCGAUUCCCGGCCGGGGAUCUUUCUGCAUGGAGUUUGCAUGUUCUCCCUGUGCAUGCGUGGAUUCUCUCCGGGUUCUCCGGCUUCCUCCCACAGUCCAAAAACAUGACUGUCAGGUUAAUUGGUUUCUCUAAAUUCUCCCUAGGUGUGAGUGUGUGAAUGGUUGUUUGUCUUGUAUGUCUCUGUGUUGCCCUGCGACAGACUGGCGACCUGUCCAGGGUGAACCCCGCCUCUCGCCCAGGACGCAGCUGGAGAUAGACACCAGCAACCCUCCCGACCCCAUUAGGGAAGAAGGGUGUAUAGAAAAUGGAUGGAUGGAUGGAUGGAUAUAUAGACUGAUAUACUAUUUGUAAUUUUAGAACUGGAAUAAAUGAUUGUUUCAAUAAUUUUCUAAUUUGUUGAGCUGCAUUUAUAUUUGUGAUCUUGACCAAAUCUUUAGGCAGCUGGUGAAAGCUUGACAAACACUGUGUGCGUGUGUGUGUAGGUGUGUGUGUGUGUGUGUGUGUGUGUGUGUGUGUGUGUGUGUGUGCGUGUGUGUGUGUAUGCGUGUGUGGGUGUGUGUGUAGGUGUGUGUGCGUGUGCAUGUGUGUGUGUGUGUAGGCGUGUGUGGGUGUGUGUGGGCAUGUGUGUGUGUGUGUGUGUCUGUAAGCUGCAGUAGACUAAUAAAGCACCACAUCUCCGAAUCUGUCUGUCAAAGUGUCUCAGUCAACCUUAUAGCCUGACACAUCUGACACCUCUGUCAUUCACUGAAUGAGAUAAAAAGACAACCCAUUCAACCCACAAGCUUCUGCUUCACCACCACAGUGCUGCCAUGCUCCCUCUUACCCAAAAUCCCCGUCAUCCGUUUUUUUGCAAAGCAGCAUGUAAGUGACACUUGUAAUAUUCCAGCUGCUGCUGUUUCAGAAGGAAAUCAGAAGGAGGAUCUUUCAUUAUUAACUCUGUCAGUGGCAUGUCCUUUUUUUCCUGUGAAGCUUUUAUUACAGGAUUGCUAUCAGCUCCAUCAGUAAUGUUCACUGUGCCAAACAGUUUUAACCCUUUAAAUCGCAGGAGCAGAAGAAGAGCUUCCCCUAAUUCUAGUUCUCUUACUUAUUUACUGAGUAAAUUUGAUGGUAUUUGAUGGUAAUCAGGGUGACACCCAGUUCAUCCUUAUGAAAAAGGGCAUCUUUACUGCUAAAGCUGAGUUUCCAGCACUAAUACCGGUAACACAAACGACACUGACAGCACCCCGACCUGUUGGCAGACAGCUUGUUGGAGAUGAAUCCGCCUGGGAUCUGAGUGACGAUGUAGCCCCAAAAGAAGGACCCGUGGAUCAGCCCCACAGUCUCUGGGUCCCAGUUAAACUGAGCUUUCUGAAAUGGAGUUAAUAAAACAAAUGAGACAAAAAUGUUCAUAUUCUGGGGAAUAAAAUACAGAGUGCUUCCCUUGAUUAUCACAUACUGGUAACUAAUCUAAAUUCCUUUCUGAAUGUAUGAUGAAAAAAGUGAACAUUGACGUUUCUGUGUGUCAUGACUGUGUCUGAAACAAAAGCAAUAUUUCAUAAGGCAAAAUAAGAUUUAAAAACCCUUCUUUUUAUAAUUAAUUGUAUAUGAAUUUAAGAUGACUCCAUGCAAGGCACAGAAGAACACUCAAUAAUAAGUUUUCUAAAACGAAUUAUUACAUUUCCUUUUUACUUGAAAAUAUGUUUCGUGGGAAGUGAAUGUCUGACUUGAAACUACUAAAAAUUUACAAAAUAUAUUGAAAAAUUAUUGUUAUCAUUAUUUCUGUUAAUCUUGAUGAUUAGGCCUUACAGCUAAUAAAAACAUAAAAUUUAGUUUCUCCACAAAAAAUUAUGUCAAGGCCAUUCAAGGUUAUGCAUACACAUUGGCUACAUUGCUCAUAAGUUACUUUUUUUUUUUUAAAGAAUAAAAGUAAAUCAUCUUUUACAACAUGCAAUUCACUGAGACAUGUAUAUCUUAAAACCUUUAAUGCCAAAGAGUAAAAACAAAACAGUAUUCAGUUAGCUUGUUGGAUUUCAAUCUACCUGAAUCACUCGCGUCCCGUUGAUAUAGACUGUGUUGUUGUUCACCAUCUCUACAAUGGCCACGCCCAGGUUGCAUCGGAUGCCAAAGGAGAUGCAGAAGCCCAGGCCACUGAGGAUGGCAAUGAUGUAGCGCUUGGGCAGACCGCCGCAGCUGCAGUCCAGCAGGGGGGCAGGAAGUGGUGCUGAUGUCACCGGCUGUCCAUCUUCUGUCAGUUCAAUGUUUUCCUCAUCCUCAACAUUACUACCGUCCAUUUUCCUAAAGAGUAAAAGGGAAUGGCAAUCUGUUCACUUUGCUGCAUUUUCAUGUCACACUGUUAUUUAUAUAGAUUUAUAUAGUGUGUUAGUAAAAAUCAGUAGCAAACAAGGAUAAGGAUCAGUGAUCUGCUGUCAUCAGGUUUCUUUAAGGUUUCUCAUUCUUCACAUCCAUUCUGCCUCCUGAAUCAACAUGUCUCUGUUCACACCAGCCAGCAAUAGAUCUCCUAUUACCAGAGGCAUCUCCACAGUGCAGAGGGCUGCUGAAAUUUGCAGUUUUUCUUCUGCACAAAUUUAAGAGAGGGAAGAACAAGCUUUGAUGGAUUGUAAUAUUUCUUUCACAUCUGCCACUUUCUUGGUGCAGAGCUUUUUUUAUUGGCACUAAUUGUAAAUAUUGUCUUUUCAAUGUGCAUUUUAUAUAUAUUUUUUUAUUUAAUUAUCUCCAUUUCACAUUACUUUAGAUUGUGAAAUGUAUCUUUCUGAUAUUUUUCAUAACUACACUGUAUUUAUGUUGAAAUUUUGACCUUAAUGUAUGGUAUUAUAUUUUUAAUUCUGUUUUAUAUAUUGUAUACUCUAUCUUUGUGUGAGUCUAUUUGCUGUUAUUGCCUGUUACUUUGCUGCUGUUGCACAGAUUUUUUUUUUACAUUAUUCUACAGUAUUCUAUCUAUUGCUAUGUUUUUGCCUCCACUGUGCCUCUUGUUGCUGAAAGUAAAUCAUUCCCUCCAGAUCCAGGAUCUGAUAUUUCAGACAGAAAUUAGGAGAAGUAUUGCAAAAAUUACAAAAUAAUUUUAAUAAUGAUAAUAAUCAUCAUAAAUUGAGAACAAAUAAAUAAAUAUUGCCACAAUUAUUAGUAUGAUUAUUAUUAUUAUUAUUAUUUGUGGCAGUGGAAAUAUAAGUGUUGGUAGUAUUUCUGUUAGGUUUUACAUCACUAUUUUAUUUUCAUUAUCUUAUUAUGACGUUAUUAUUAGAAUUAUGUCUUGAAUAAAUGCUAAGCCAAAACCCACACUAAACAUGUCUGUCAUCACUUUGUUCUAUAUCACAUAAAUGUCUUCUGUUUUCAUAAUGAUGUUGCCUUUAUUUUAUUUUCUGUAAUUCUAUUUUUGUUGUCUUGUCUAAAUAAUCCUCCACUUUAUUUUCUAAAGACAGUCGUCUGAAUACAUGUCUAAGCUUCUCCACCGCUGACAAAUUCUUCUGUUAAGAAUUUAUUAGAUGUAAAAUAUGCAUUACUGCCUAAAAAUAAAACCUGUGAUUACAUCACUGGCCUCCCUCUGCAA